GCAUUUCUAGCGUAGGUUGGGAAGCCGACACUCCCCGGUAACUGGCAGGGGGAGGCGGUUUGCGGGACGCUGCCGGGGGGCGCUGAGCUUUGUGCCAACCUCUCCCAGCGUCCGGCCAGCCAGGAGAAAGCUGCGAAUGCAGGAGGGGAUGAAGGCGGAGAAUGGGUGAGGAAGGAAGGGGCUGGGAAAUGGGAAGAGGUCGUUCUGCCCCCGAAACUACAUAAUGGCUGGGAAGGACCGCCAAACAAGACUGGAACCAGUAGGAAGUUGUACGGUAUGAAGAAACAGGCCCAAGGAAGCUUCCAGAUUUUGUCAGAUGGUAGAUUCCAAGUCUCCAACUUCUACUGCUGCUUGGUGCUGUCUAACCGUCCCUUAAUGGCACAGAUUCACUGGACAGAGGAAGAAGAGGAUGGCCAAGAUUUACUGGUUGAAAGACGAGACAGCUCCCUUCUGAUGCUUUCUAUCUGCCUUUGAAAUUCAUCAGCUAAGGGUGAGGAAGAGAUGGGAGAAUUGGAGUUUGAUUAUGUCAUAGAAGCAACUAUACAGUUCAGUUGUGUUGGAGGACCUCACCAUCAGGUCUCGCUCCCUCUUAGUAAGUGUCAAGAGAGACCAAGGCCACUGUUGCUUCUUCCAAAUUCCAUUUUAUAAGGACUCUCAAUUUUAAAGUUGAGAAGAUGGAUCAUAUGCCUAUCUGCUUCCAGUGUCCUCUUGCUUCCAGGCUGAAGGAGCUGUGUUCUCCAGGACAUGGAAUUAUUGACAUCAUCUACAAGGCAUAUUAACCAUGAAGAAAGACAGAUUUCAACUGUACGUCCUCUUUCUGCAGAGACUGAAGAAGAGAGUUCCAUGGACCCCAGCUUCAAAAAACAUGACUCUACAGUGUGAAAUAAUUGAGGGUAAGCACUGCGAAUUUUUUUUUUUUUGGGGGGGGGCCACACCCACAGGAAUGUGGAAAAUCUCAGGCUAGGGGUUAAAUCGAAGCUGCAACUGCCAGCCUACACUAUAGCCAUAGCAACUUGGGAUCCAAGCUGGGUCUGUGACCUACACCACAGCUCAUAGCAACGCUGGAUCCCCAACCCCACUGAGUGGAGCCAGAAAUGGAACCCAGAUCUUCAUGGAUAUUAGCCAGAUUCAUUUUCACUGUGCUGCAACGGGAACUCCAGCACUGUGAAUUUGGGACAUGAUGUCUCCCACACUGAGUAGAUAGUCCUGUACAUAUUGAGUCCUGAAAACACUGAAUGAAUGAAUCAAAUAGCCUUUUUUGGAGAUCCACUGUACUGGUAGUAUGCUAUGUGUUUUAUGUAUGUUCUUUCAUUCUUCUAAUGUUGUUCUAUGGCUGAGGAAACUGAAGCUAACUAGAAGUAAAAGAAGCUGAAGAUCUAGAAUUGACAAGCAUAGAAAGGAGAUAUGACUAGAUCUGAAGUUCAAGGGGAGGACUCCUGCAUGAGCAGGGCCUUAGUCUGGGUGUUGAGACAUGUUGUGAGAUUCACCAUCAUGGCUCAGCUGGUCCUAGUUCCAGGCCCAGCUGUGGGGGGCCAUCACCUCUGAGGUCUUCUCAGGCCACCAUGUGGCAGCACCAUUGUCAGGCACUUGUUGUCAGUGACAAAAAUGGACUUCCUAUUUGCUCCUUCUAAUAGCCCCUUAAAAUAACACAUGAGUCUUUCAUAGUUUUAGCUUCCACUUGAGAACCUGCAUUCAGACUAAAACCUUUUUGUUGUGGUUGAGAUUGAUUUGCAAUCUGAUUCUUGCAUUAGAUAGCCAUUCUUAGGCUAUUAGGAGCCCCAUAGAAAAUUGCUCCAAUGGAUCCAUAUCACUUUGGGAAGUUCCCGUGGAAUUGUUCUUCCGGAGAAAUGAUAAAAACUCUGGGUCAGUCGCUAGAGUGUCAGCAGAUUGAAUGGCCAAAAGAGAAUGCCUCCCAUCUGUGGCCCUGAAGUGCUGGGUCAGCAGAGGAAAGUGGUUAAAAUAAUUACCGUGGAGUCAGGGAAUUUGGCAGAUUUGGGAGAUCACACAUGUAAAGGGACCUUUUUUCCUCCGUUUUCUUAUCUCAGACCCAUGUGAAUUGAUGAUCAUGAGGGCACCAAGGGGACAGAAAUAGACGUUAUCCUGCUCCGGUCCCAAACCGGGAAGAAAGAAAUAACCAACCCUACUUCUCUACAUGGGUGGAAUGAGGGCUGACCAGUAUGCAAAUGGCAGCAGACAUAUGGUUAUGUUCUGAUUAGCUACUAGUGAUUUGAAGCCAUGCAUAUGUAUCAACUGCUGAUGUAUGUAUGGACAAUACAUCUGUUUACACAAAUAGACUUGAAGCAUUUUUUUUUCCAUUUUUCUUAAGGAUCUAGUACUGGAUGCCCAUAGGAAAAGAUGUUUUACUUCCUUUUCCCAUUAAUUUUGAUCAGCCAGAAUCAAACUACUUUGUUUUCUCUUAUUCUUACUUUUGUGAAGGAACUUUUUCUUUGUGUGUGUAGCUUUACUAACCAUAUUGUUUGGGCUCUUGAAAAAGGAGGUAUGGGAGUUCCCAUUGUGGCCUAACAAGAUUGGCAGCAUCUCUGGAGUACUGGGAUACAGGUUAAGUCCCCGGCCCAGCACAACAGAUUAAGGAUCUGGCAUUGCCUCAGCUAUAGCAUAGGUUGAAACUGCAGCUCGGAUCUAAUCCCUGGCCUGGGAACUCUAUGUGCCAUGGGGUAGUCAAAAAAAAAAAAAAAAAAAAAAAAAAAAAAA
This 2712-nucleotide long non-coding RNA is filed under the name Sus scrofa (pig). RNAcentral describes it as "lncRNA (ENSSSCG00015027757.1)". The record is from RNAcentral. Lineage: Eukaryota; Metazoa; Chordata; Mammalia; Artiodactyla; Suidae.